RNAcentral lists this ribosomal RNA (496 nucleotides) under uncultured bacterium. Its description in RNAcentral is "partial 16S ribosomal RNA". It matches the Rfam family "Bacterial small subunit ribosomal RNA", at positions 29 to 507 of the family's 1533-position model. The record is from RNAcentral.
AUGAACGCUGGCGGCGUGCCUAAUCCAUGCAAGUCGAGCGAACGGACGAGAAGCUUGCUUCUCUGAUGUUAGCGGCGGACGGGUGAGUAACACGUGGAUAACCUACCUAUAAGACUGGGAUAACUUCGGGAAACCGGAGCUAAUACCGGAUAAUAUUUUGAACCGCAUGGUUCAAAAGUGAAAGACGGUCUUGCUGUCACUUAUAGAUGGAUCCGCGCUGCAUUAGCUAGUUGGUAAGGUAACGGCUUACCAAGGCAACGAUGCAUAGCCGACCUGAGAGGGUGAUCGGCCACACUGGAACUGAGACACGGUCCAGACUCCUACGGGAGGCAGCAGUAGGGAAUCUUCCGCAAUGUGCGAAAGCCUGACGGAGCAACGCCGCGUGAGUGAUGAAGGUCUUCGGAUCGUAAAACUCUGUUAUUAGGGAAGAACAUAUGUGUAAGUAACUGUGCACAUCUUGACGGUACCUAAUCAGAAAGCCACGGCUAACUACGUG